RNAcentral lists this ribosomal RNA (825 nucleotides) under uncultured archaeon. RNAcentral's name for it is "bacterial SSU rRNA". It matches the Rfam family "Archaeal small subunit ribosomal RNA", at positions 64 to 894 of the family's 1478-position model. The record is from RNAcentral.
GUAGCAAUACAUGGCGUACUGCUCAGUAACACGUGGACAACCUACCCUCCGGACGGGUAUAAACCCGGGAAACUGGGUAUAAUCCCCGAUAGAUCUCGGUCGCUGGAAAGCCCCGAGAUCGAAAGCUCCGGCGCCAGAGGAUGGGUCUGCGGCCUAUCAGGUAGUAGUGGGUGUAGCGUACCUACUAGCCUACGACGGGUACGGGUUGUGAGAGCAAGAGCCCGGAGAUGGAUUCUGAGACACGAAUCCAGGCCCUACGGGGUGCAGCAGGCGCGAAAACUUUACAAUGCCGGCAACGGCGAUAAGGGGACCUCGAGUGCCAGGUUACAAAUCUGGCUGUCGUGAUGCCUAAAAAGCAUUGCAUAGCAAGGGCCGGGCAAGACCGGUGCCAGCCGCCGCGGUAACACCGGCGGCUCGAGUGGUAACCGUUAUUAUUGGGUCUAAAGGGUCUGUAGCCGGCCAGAUAGGUCUCUUGAGGAAUCCAGCAGCUCAACUGUUGGGCUUUCAGGAGAUACUGUCUGGCUCGAGGCCGGGAGAGGUGAGAGGUACUUCAGGGGUAGGGGUGAAAUCUUGUAAUCCUUGAAGGACCACCAGUGGCGAAGGCGUCUCACCAGAACGGACCUGACGGCAAGGGACGAAAGCUAGGGGCACGAACCGGAUUAGAUACCCGGGUAGUCCUAGCCGUAAACGAUACUCGCUAGGUGUCGGCCACGGUGCGACCGUUGUCGGUGCCGUAGGGAAGCCGUGAAGCGAGCCACCUGGGAAGUACGGCCGCAAGGCUGAAACUUAAAGGAAUUGGCGGGGGAGCACCACAACGGGUGGAGC